AUCUCCUGCUCCCCGGUGUACGCGAAGGGGGGGCGGGGAGUCUGAUGGCACGGAACAAUGGAAGAACGCAGACCCCCUUACCUUAGCGUUUGGUGAGGAGGAGAAGAUCUCCUCUGGGAAGAGGCUUGCGAGCAGAGAGAAGGAGACGCAAGCCAGCUCAAAGCCUCUUUGUCUGGGAUGACUCACGCCCAAUGCCAUGACCAACUCGUUGUCCGUGUAGCGGUACCAGCAGGCAGGAACGCUCCCGGACGGACGAAACCGUGGAGAAGGAGAGCCUGAGAAGACACCGCAGCACGGCGAACAAAUGAGGUGUAGGAGACGAGAGGCGGCCCCUAUGUCAGCAAUCAGUUACCUGGCUCUACCUGGCACGUCCUCCCUACCCUGCAGCCGACAUGUGACCUGGGGUUGAGAGAUGGAGGUUGUGACCCACUCACCACCAAAGGGCUGAGGGGGCUCCUGCUCACCUGCCUUCCGGUUAAUGACGUGAGUUUACAGCACCACUUUUUCAGUUGGAGAACCUGGCAAACUUGGACAUGUGCUACUCAUAGUGUCACCUGACAGCAGAAGCACAUGCUGAGCCCUGCCCAAGUGGGAAAUAUAGUCAUGGCUCAUUCUCCUGAUAAGAACGGACCAGUCAGACAUUUAUGUAACACUAAUCAUUUGUCAGUUUGAAGGCUGUAGUCAAAAGUCAAAGCUCUCACGUCAAUUUCUUAAUUGGCUGUCACUUGGACCUCCUCCAUUUCCAUCCGCCAAGGUUCUUGGCCACGUGCCGUCGGUGUGUCAUCGUGCUCACCUUCGUGGGUCCUUCAGGGAUGGCAGUGACAUUGAAACAACAUGGGGUGUGAACUGCAGCUGCCUCAACAGUGACUGGCUGUGUUCAGGACAACCACGUCUUAUCCGGCACCAAAGAAUGGGACCGAAAGGCCCGCCUGGGCCAAUUUGCAUCUCAAACAGGCACAGCUCCUCCGUGAGGAGGCAUGACAGAUGCUAGAUGUGACUCCGCCCCCCUCCAGUCCCGCCUCCUUUUGUCGUCGUAGCUAUUAAUUGGAUCACUCAGCUCCCACCUUCCUGCUGCUGCCCACAGCACACGGCUCCAGGGAGAGCUGUGGGUGGAGGGGGGCAGAGGACAAAAAACCUGGGGCAACAGCUAUAAAUGCCACUGUAAAACAUGCCAAAAAACAUGUGCCUUUUAUUUCUUCACCUCUCAGCUGAAAUUCUCCAAAUAUACUAUCGCGCAAGACACAGGUUUCACUCAUUCUGUUCCCCAUAAAAACCUCUCCUGAUAUUUCCAGAGGACAUACAAAGGCUGAAUCCUAUUUUGAUAACACACAGACAUUCACGUCUCAUAGACGCACUCAGGCUAAUUGUCAGGGAGCUAAUUGCCCAUUGUCAUGCGACGGCUUAUUGUCCUGACGUGGGCCGCUGCUGCUCUGAGGGAAG
Long non-coding RNA from Brienomyrus brachyistius, 1440 nucleotides. RefSeq lists it as uncharacterized. NCBI's taxonomy places the organism in Eukaryota, Metazoa, Chordata, Actinopteri, Osteoglossiformes, Mormyridae. The transcript has 3 exons. The record is from RefSeq and is a predicted model, not a curated record.